AUUAAACGCUGGCGGCAGGCCUAACACAUGCAAGUCGAGCGAGCGGCGGACGGGUGAGUAAUGUCUGGGAAACUGCCUGAUGGAGGGGGAUAACUACUGGAAACGGUAGCUAAUACCGCAUACCAUCAGAUGUGCCCAGAUGGGAUUAGCUAGUAGGUGGGGUAACGGCUCACGUAGGCGACGAUCCCUAGCUGGUCUGAGAGGAUGACCAGGGACACUGGAACUGAGACACGGACCAGAGGCCUACGGGAGGCAGCAGUGGGGAAUAGGGGACAAUGGGCGGAAGCCUGAUAGAGCCAUGCCGCGUGUGUGAAGAAGGCGGAGGGGUUGUAAAGCACUGUCAGCGGGGAGGCGUUACCCGCAGAAGAAGCACCGGCUAACUCCGUGCCAGCAGCCGCGGUAAUAC
Molecule: ribosomal RNA, 406 nt
Filed under: uncultured bacterium
Lineage: Bacteria
Description: partial 16S ribosomal RNA
Rfam family: Bacterial small subunit ribosomal RNA
Source: RNAcentral